UGUAGGCAUGCAUCUUAGGCAAAUCCGGGGUGCUCUAUGCUGAGAACUGAUAGCAAGCGAGUUUACUCGUGAAGUGGCUGAUACUAUGCUUCCAGGAAAAGUCUCUAAGCUUCAGUUACACAGGAAUCGUACCCGAAACCGACACAGGUGGUCAGGUAGAGAAUACCAAGGCGCUUGAGAGAACUCGGGUGAAGGAACUAGGCACAAUGGUGCCGUAACUGCGGGAGAAGGCACGCUGAGCUGUCGGUGAAGCGACUGGCUCGUGGAGC
This 269-nucleotide ribosomal RNA is filed under the name Staphylococcus warneri. RNAcentral's name for it is "partial 23S ribosomal RNA". It matches the Rfam family "Bacterial large subunit ribosomal RNA", at positions 1519 to 1782 of the family's 2925-position model. Lineage: Bacteria; Bacillati; Bacillota; Bacilli; Caryophanales; Staphylococcaceae. The record is from RNAcentral.